RNAcentral lists this ribosomal RNA (474 nucleotides) under uncultured bacterium. RNAcentral's name for it is "bacterial SSU rRNA". It matches the Rfam family "Bacterial small subunit ribosomal RNA", at positions 335 to 799 of the family's 1533-position model. The record is from RNAcentral.
ACUCCUACGGGAGGCAGCAGUAGGGAAUCUUCCACAAUGGGCGCAAGCCUGAUGGAGCAACACCGCGUGAGUGAAGAAGGGUUUCGGCUCGUAAAAGCUCUGUUGUUAAAGAAGAACACGUAUGAGAGUAACUGUUCAUACGUUGACGGUAUUUAACCAGAAAGUCACGGCUAACUACGUGCCAGCAGCCGCGGUAAUACGUAGGUGGCAAGCGUUAUCCGGAUUUAUUGGGCGUAAAGCGCAUGCAGGCGGCCUGUUAAGUCAGAUGUGAAAGCCCGGGGGCUUAACCUCGGAAUUGCAUUUGAAACUGGCAGGCUAGAGUCUUGUAGAGGGGGUAGAAUUUCAGGUGUAGCGGUGAAAUGCGUAGAGAUCUGAAGGAAUACCAGUGGCGAAGGCGGCCCCCUGGACAAAGACUGACGCUCAGAUGCGAAAGCGUGGGGAGCGAAACAGGAUUAGAUACCCUGGUAGGCGUAG